UACGAAGGGGGCUAGCGUUGAUCGGAAUCACUGGGCGUAAAGCGCACGCAGGCGGCUUGUUAAGUCAGGGGUGAAAUCCUGGAGCUCAACUCCAGAACUGCCUUUGAUACUGGCGAGCUUGAGUACGGGAGAGGUGAGUGGAACUGCGAGUGUAGCAGUGAAAUGCGUAGAUAUGCGGAGGAACACCGAUGGCGAAGGCAAUCCCCUGGGCCUGCACUGACGCUCAUGCACGAAAUCGUGGGGAGCAAACAGG
RNAcentral lists this ribosomal RNA (253 nucleotides) under uncultured bacterium. RNAcentral's name for it is "partial 16S ribosomal RNA". It matches the Rfam family "Bacterial small subunit ribosomal RNA", at positions 524 to 776 of the family's 1533-position model. The record is from RNAcentral.